UCAAGUUUUUAAGGGCACAUGGUGGAUGCCUUGGUACCAGGAACCGAUGAAGGACGUUGGAAUCUGCGAUAAGCCUCGGGGAGUCGAUAACCGGACUGUGAUCCGAGGGUGUCCGAAUGGGGAAACCCGGCGAGAUUCGUGUCUCGUCACCCGCAUCUGAACUCAUAGGGUGUGUGGAGGGGACGUGGGGAAGUGAAACAUCUCAGUACCCACAGGAAGAGAAAACAAUUGUGAUUCCGUGAGUAGUGGCGAGCGAAAGCGGAUGAGGCUAAACCGGGCGCAUGUGAUAGCCGGCAGGUGUUGUGUGUUCGGGGUUGUGGGGUGCGUUUUUAUCCAGGCUGCCGUCUGGGUGUGGAGUGAGAAAUCUGCGUGAUAGUCGAACCGUUUUGAAUGGCGGGCCGUAGUGGGUGGUAGCCCCGUAGGCGAAAUUGCGUGGACUCCAUGGGCGUAUUCCCGAGUAGCACGGGGCCCGAGAAAUCCUGUGUGAAUCUGGCGGGACCACCCGCUAAGCCUAAAUAUUACCUGGUGACCGAUAGCGGACAAGUACCGUGAGGGAAUGGUGAAAAGUACCCCGGGAGGGGAGUGAAAUAGUUCCUGAAACCGUGUGUCUACAAUCCGUCGGAGCCUCUGUGUGGGGUGACGGCGUGCCUUUUGAAGAAUGAGCCUGCGAGUUAGUGCUCCGUGGCGAGGUUAACCUGUGUGGGGUAGCCGUAGCGAAAGCGAGUCCGAAGAGGGCGUUCAUAGUCGCGGGGUCUAGACCCGAAGCGGAGUGAUCUACCCAUGGCCAGGGUGAAGCGCCGGUAAGACGGCGUGGAGGCCCGAACCCACUUAGGUUGAAAACUGAGGGGAUGAGCUGUGGGUAGGGGUGAAAGGCCAAUCAAACUCCGUGAUAGCUGGUUCUCCCCGAAAUGCAUUUAGGUGCAGCGUUGCGUGUUUCUUGCCGGAGGUAGAGCUACUGGAUGGCUGAUGGGCCUUACCGGGUUACUGACGUCAGCUAAACUCCGAAUGCCGGUAAGUGAGAGCGUGGCAGUGAGACUGCGGGGGAUAAGCUUCGUAGUCGAGAGGGAAACAGCCCAGAUCACCAGCUAAGGUCCCUAAGCGUGUGCUAAGUGGAAAAGGAUGUGGAGUUGCCGUGACAACCAGGAGGUUGGCUUAGAAGCAGCCACCCUUGAAAGAGUGCGUAAUAGCUCACUGGUCAAGUGAUUCCGCGCCGACAAUGUAGCGGGGCUCAAGCACACCACCGAAGCUGUGGCAAUCACACAUUUCCCUACCUUUUGGUCAGGGGUGUGGUUGGGUAGGGGAGCGUCGUGUGGCGGGUGAAGCAUCGAAGUGAUUCAGGUGUGGACGCUACACGAGUGAGAAUGCAGGCAUGAGUAGCGAAUGGCAAGUGAGAAACUUGCCCGCCGAAUGACCAAGGGUUCCAGGGUCAAGUUAAUCUGCCCUGGGUAAGUCGGGACCUAAGGCGAGGCCGACAGGCGUAGUCGAUGGACAACGGGUUGAUAUUCCCGUACCGGCGAAGGACCGCCCAUAUCGAAUCCAGUGAUGCUAAAUGCCCGAAGCCGCUGGUGCACGUCUUUGGCGUGUGUCGGAUUGGUGGAGCGCGUGACCCGAUCUGGUAGUAGGUAAGUGAUGGAGUGACGCAGGAAGGUAGCCUCCGCGUGGCGAUGGUUGUCCACGUCCAAGCAUGUAAGGCGACAUCUAGGUAAAUCCGGGUGUCAUGUGCCCCAGGUGUGAUGGUGACCCCGUGUGGGGGAAGAGGGUGAUCCUAUGCUGUCGAGAAAAACUUCUAGCGAGGUUCGAGCCGCCCGUACCCGAAACCGACUCAGGUGGUCAGGUAGAGAAUACUAAGGCGAUCGAGUGAAUCGUGGUUAAGGAAUUCGGCAAAAUGCCCCCGUAACUUCGGGAGAAGGGGGGCCAUGAUCGUGACCCGGCGUUGCUCGGUGAGCGUGAGUGGCCGCAGAGACCAGGGAGAAGCGACUGUUUACUAAAAACACAGGUCCGUGCGAAGACGUAAGUCGAUGUAUACGGACUGACGCCUGCCCGGUGCUGGAACGUUAAGGGGACCGGUUAGCUCCUUUUGGGGCGACGCUGAGAACUUAAGCGCCAGUAAACGGCGGUGGUAACUAUAACCAUCCUAAGGUAGCGAAAUUCCUUGUCGGGUAAGUUCCGACCUGCACGAAUGGCGUAACGACUUCUCCACUGUCUCAACCGCGAACUCGGCGAAAUUGCAUUACGAGUAAAGAUGCUCGUUACGCGCAGAAGGACGGAAAGACCCCGGGACCUUUACUACAGCUUGGUAUUGGUGUUCGGGACGGCUUGUGUAGGAUAGGUGGGAGACUGUGAAGUGCCCGCGCCAGCGGGUGUGGAGUCAUCGUUGAAAUACCACUCUGGUCGUUCUGGAUGUCUAACUUCGGUCCGUGAUCCGGAUCAGGGACAGUGCCUGGUGGGUAGUUUAACUGGGGCGGUUGCCUCCUAAAGGGUAACGGAGGCGCCCAAAGGUUCCCUCAGCCUGGUUGGCAAUCAGGUGUUGAGUGUAAGUGCACAAGGGAGCUUGACUGUGAGACAGACAUGUCGAGCAGGGACGAAAGUCGGGACUAGUGAUCCGGCCGUGGUGUGUGGAAACGCGGUCGCUCAACGGAUAAAAGGUACCCCGGGGAUAACAGGCUGAUCUUGCCCAAGAGUCCAUAUCGACGGCAUGGUUUGGCACCUCGAUGUCGGCUCGUCGCAUCCUGGGGCUGGAGUAGGUCCCAAGGGUUGGGCUGUUCGCCCAUUAAAGCGGUACGCGAGCUGGGUUUAGAACGUCGUGAGACAGUUCGGUCCCUAUCCUCUGCGCGCGUAGGAAACUUGAGAAGGGCUGUCCCUAGUACGAGAGGACCGGGAUGGACGAACCUCUGGUGUGUCAGUUGUUCUGCCAAGGGCACCGCUGAUUAGCUACGUUCGGGAGUGAUAACCGCUGAAAGCAUCUAAGCGGGAAGCACGCUUCGAGAUGAGGUUUCCAUGGGCCCUUUUGGGCCUGUGAGGCUCCCAGCUAGACGACUGGGUUGAUAGGCCAGAUGUGGAAGCGCAGUAAUGUGUGUAGCUGACUGGUACUAAUAAGCCGACAACUUGACCUUC
RNAcentral lists this ribosomal RNA (3114 nucleotides) under Piscicoccus intestinalis NBRC 104926. RNAcentral describes it as "bacterial LSU rRNA". It matches the Rfam family "Bacterial large subunit ribosomal RNA". Lineage: Bacteria; Bacillati; Actinomycetota; Actinomycetes; Micrococcales; Dermatophilaceae. The record is from RNAcentral.